GACGAACGCUGGCGGCGUGCCUAAUACAUGCAAGUAGAACGCUGAAGCUUGGUGCUUGCACCGAGCGGAUGAGUUGCGAACGGGUGAGUAACGCGUAGGUAACCUGCCUGGUAGCGGGGGAUAACUAUUGGAAACGAUAGCUAAUACCGCAUAAUAGUAGAUGUUGCAUGACAUUUGCUUAAAAGGUGCAAUUGCAUCACUACCAGAUGGACCUGCGUUGUAUUAGCUAGUUGGUGAGGUAACGGCUCACCAAGGCAACGAUACAUAGCCGACCUGAGAGGGUGAUCGGCCACACUGGGACUGAGACACGGCCCAGACUCCUACGGGAGGCAGCAGUAGGGAAUCUUCGGCAAUGGACGGAAGUCUGACCGAGCAACGCCGCGUGAGUGAAGGAGGUUUUCGGAUCGUAAAGCUCUGUUGUAAGAGAAGAACGAGUGUGAGAGUGGAAAGUUCACACUGUGACGGUAUCUUACCAGAAAGGGACGGCUAACUACGUG
RNAcentral lists this ribosomal RNA (497 nucleotides) under uncultured bacterium. RNAcentral describes it as "partial 16S ribosomal RNA". It matches the Rfam family "Bacterial small subunit ribosomal RNA", at positions 28 to 507 of the family's 1533-position model. The record is from RNAcentral.